GUGUUUUUCAUAGUAUUAGAUAUAAGAUUAAUUAAAAAGAGAUUGUACGCAACUUGUGAAAGCUUAAGUACGUCAGAAGCAGAAGAGUCUGUUUUUAUGAUAAAUGUGUUAGAGCAUCGGUUUAUAUAUAGCCGAUGCUUUUUUUAU
Molecule: small RNA, 147 nt
Filed under: Bacteroides faecichinchillae
Lineage: Bacteria; Pseudomonadati; Bacteroidota; Bacteroidia; Bacteroidales; Bacteroidaceae
Description: Bacteroides sp. JCM 17102 GibS sRNA
Rfam family: GibS sRNA
About the family: A small RNA with a conserved region in the 5' region in gene clusters, related to carbon metabolism in Bacteroidetes.
Source: Rfam by way of RNAcentral